GACGAACGCUGGCGGCGUGCUUAACACAUGCAAGUCGAACGGUGAACCUCUUCGGAGGGGAUCAGUGGCGAACGGGUGAGUAACACGUGGGCAACAUGCCCCCGGCUCUGGGAUAACUCCAAGAAAUUGGGGCUAAUACCGGAUGUUCACCGCUUCCCGCAUGGGUGGUGGUGGAAAGGGUUUCCGGCUGGGGAUGGGCCCGCGGCCUAUCAGCUUGUUGGUGGGGUAGUGGCCUACCAAGGCGACGACGGGUAGCCGGCCUGAGAGGGUGACCGGCCACACUGGGACUGAGACACGGCCCAGACUCCUACGGGAGGCAGCAGUGGGGAAUAUUGCGCAAUGGGCGGAAGCCUGACGCAGCGACGCCGCGUGGGGGAUGACGGCCUUCGGGUUGUAAACCUCUUUCAGCAGGGACGAAGCGCAAGUGACGGUACCUGCAGAAGAAGCACCGGCCAACUACGUG
This 463-nucleotide ribosomal RNA is filed under the name uncultured bacterium. RNAcentral describes it as "partial 16S ribosomal RNA". It matches the Rfam family "Bacterial small subunit ribosomal RNA", at positions 28 to 507 of the family's 1533-position model. The record is from RNAcentral.